GAUGAACGCUGGCGGCGUGCCUAAUACAUGCAAGUCGAGCGAACGGACGAGAAGCUUGCUUCUCUGAUGUUAGCGGCGGACGGGUGAGUAACACGUGGAUAACCUACCUAUAAGACUGGGAUAACUUCGGGAAACCGGAGCUAAUACCGGAUGAUAUUUUGAACCGCAUGGUUCAAAAGUGAAAGACGGUCUUGCUGUCACUUAUAGAUGGAUCCGCGCUGCAUUAGCUAGUUGGUAAGGUAACGGCUUACCAAGGCAACGAUGCAUAGCCGACCUGAGAGGGUGAUCGGCCACACUGGAACUGAGACACGGUCCAGACUCCUACGGGAGGCAGCAGUAGGGAAUCUUCCGCAAGGGGCGAAAGCCUGACGGAGCAACGCCGCGUGAGUGAUGAAGGUCUUCGGAUCGUAAAACUCUGUUAUUAGGGAAGAACAUAAGUGUAAGUAACUGUGCACAUCUUGACGGUACCUAAUCAGAAAGCCACGGCUAACUACGUG
RNAcentral lists this ribosomal RNA (497 nucleotides) under uncultured bacterium. RNAcentral's name for it is "partial 16S ribosomal RNA". It matches the Rfam family "Bacterial small subunit ribosomal RNA", at positions 28 to 507 of the family's 1533-position model. The record is from RNAcentral.